UACGUAGGGCGCAAGCGUUGUCCGGAAUUAUUGGGCGUAAAGAGCUCGUAGGCGGCUUGUCACGUCGAUUGUGAAAGCCCGAGGCUUAACCUCGGGUCUGCAGUCGAUACGGGCUAGCUAGAGUGUGGUAGGGGAGAUCGGAAUUCCUGGUGUAGCGGUGAAAUGCGCAGAUAUCAGGAGGAACACCGGUGGCGAAGGCGGAUCUCUGGGCCGUAACUGACGCUGAGGAGCGAAAGCAUGGGGAGCGAACAGG
This 253-nucleotide ribosomal RNA is filed under the name uncultured bacterium. RNAcentral describes it as "partial 16S ribosomal RNA". It matches the Rfam family "Bacterial small subunit ribosomal RNA", at positions 524 to 776 of the family's 1533-position model. The record is from RNAcentral.